CUCAUUAAGUUGGUGAUUGCUGCCGAGGGAGCAGGAGAUGGGUGUUGUUCUGCCAUGGGUUUGGUUUUGUUGGAGCUCUGCUGCAGUGAAAUUCACUGUUGCACACGGUGUGAUCCUCCUGCUCCACUCUGAGCUCUCUGUGUACUUUUGAAGGGUUCGGAGCCUUCAGCCUCUUCGAGAAAAAAAACAACAUCCAUGGAGGAGAUGGGAGCUUUGCUGCUCCGGUCCUCGUGUAAUACCCAGAGAACAACCUGAGAGAUCCCAGGGAGGGCUGAGCUCUGAUAUCUUCCAUCUUCUGCUGCUGCACCAGAAAUGUGAGCAUCUAACUAAAAUACUGAGCACUGACUUCGUCUUUGGAAGAACAGAGCAGAAAAUGUAAUUGAACCAGCAAAUCAUCAAGUGUUUGGUGUCCUGGGUAGGGCAGAAGCCUUCAGAGAAAGGACUGCAGAGCUGUUUGCCAGCAUUUGCUGCUGGGUGAUGUCCCUGGGCUGAGGGACUUCUGUACAAUGUCAGCUCCA
RNAcentral lists this long non-coding RNA (518 nucleotides) under Meleagris gallopavo (turkey). Its description in RNAcentral is "lncRNA (ENSMGAG00000019926.1)". Lineage: Eukaryota; Metazoa; Chordata; Aves; Galliformes; Phasianidae. The record is from RNAcentral.